This 1429-nucleotide long non-coding RNA is filed under the name Astyanax mexicanus (Mexican tetra). RNAcentral describes it as "lncRNA (ENSAMXG00005001235.1)". Lineage: Eukaryota; Metazoa; Chordata; Actinopteri; Characiformes; Acestrorhamphidae. The record is from RNAcentral.
GAAAAUUUACACUUGCUUGGUCACAUAGUAUUGAUUUUUAUUUUUGUUCAAGCUAUUAUAAGAAAGUCAUGUGAGAAAAACUCUAAAAAUCAUAUAUAGCAAGUGAUUUUUUGUGUUUGAGAAACAAAAACUGGUUUCACAAAGGGUUUGAUUAAUAGAAUGCAAAUUAUUAAUAUAAUGCAUUAGAAGUUUUUCAUUAUACCCCCCUUAUUAGACAAGGCAGGAAAAAAAAAUUUUAUAUAGCACCUUUCAUACAUAGAGUCAAUUCAAAGUGCUUUACAGAAAGAUUUAAUACUCAAUACAAGUUUAAGACAGUCAUAAGAAAUGAUAAAUUAAAGGGAAAAAAAAACAUUUAUAACAGAACUAAAAUGAAUAAAAUUGAAAUAUAAGAAAUACAUGUAAAACAUAAUUUAUAAUAAUGUUAAAAUUAAAAUAAUAUAAAUAUUUACAUACUUUUAAAAAAACCUCUAAAAUAUCUAUUUUAUUUUAAGCCAUAUAUACUAUCAUUUAAGCUCUUAUUAUACUAUUAUAACACAUACAUAUAUAAAUCCCAAGAGAGAGCAGCAGCAUGUGGAGAAUAAAUACAUAUAAAAAAGCACAUAAAUAAAAUAAAGUAACUAACACACAAUGCUUUCACUUUUAUUUAAUUGGCAAAUAUUUCAUAAAAUUAUGGAAAAUGUAUUAUGUAGUAUUUUUUUUUUUAAUUAGCAGAAGUUUGAGUUUAAACAUCCACAAUUAACACAAUUAAAACGAGUGCAGCUUGCAGCAGCUGUGAUUGGCUGGGCAGUGUUAGGGUGAGCUAAAAGCGAGUGUUCUGAUUGGCUCAGUUCAUCAUUAGUCAAGAUCCUAUUAAACGGCAUCAGCUCUUCCAUUUCCCCCAAUUACUGCUGCUCCUGCUGUUAAUUCACUUAAAUCACAUUAUGCAGAACAAUUUUAAGUUAUAUAUAUUUUUUACAGUGUAAUAAACUGUUGUAUAAACUCUUGCAGUGUCUGUGGCUCCUCCCUCUCUUGCUCUGGACGCAGUGCCAUUGGCUACAGAAAACAGAGGAGAGCAGCAGCCGGUGGACAGCAGGCCGUCUGUCCCCGCUGUAACGGCCGUGGACCCGCCGGAGACGCUCCCCGAGAGGACAUCACUCGCCAGCAAGGCCAGGACCAAGGUCUGACCCUACAGUGUGUGUUUGUUUUGUGUGUGUGAUUCUCUAAAUGCUUUAUUUUUAUUAAGUGUAAUAUUUUAGGAAACAAAUCAUGUUCCUCAUGAUCCAGUUUAAAGUGAACUGAAUUAACUGUGUUUACACCACACACCCAGAGUCAGUUUUAAAUGGUAAAAAAAGCAUUAAACUGGACAUAUACACCCAGAAGAGCCACAGCAACUCCAUGAUGGCUGUUUAAUACACCAACAGCAGUAAAAGCUAUGGAGGAGAAAUUAAAG